RNAcentral lists this ribosomal RNA (868 nucleotides) under Actinobacteridae bacterium TEMPHRAG18B03. RNAcentral describes it as "bacterial SSU rRNA". It matches the Rfam family "Bacterial small subunit ribosomal RNA", at positions 37 to 916 of the family's 1533-position model. The record is from RNAcentral. Lineage: Bacteria; Bacillati; Actinomycetota; Actinomycetes.
GUGCGGGAUGCUUACACAUGCAGUCGAACGAUGAACCUGGAGCUUGCUCUAGGGAAUUAGUGGCGAACGGGUGAGUAACACGUGAGUAACCUGCCCUUGACUCUGGGAUAACCUCCGGAAACGGAAGCUAAUACCGGAUAUGACGCACGGAGGCAUCUCCUGUGCGUGGAAAGAACUUCGGUCAAGGAUGGACUCGCGGCCUAUCAGGUAGUUGGUGAGGUAACGGCCCACCAAGCCUACGACGGGUAGCCGGCCUGAGAGGGUGACCGGCCACACUGGGACUGAGACACGGCCCAGACUCCUACGGGAGGCAGCAGUGGGGAAUAUUGCACAAUGGGCGAAAGCCUGAUGCAGCAACGCCGCGUGAGGGAUGACGGCCUUCGGGUUGUAAACCUCUUUUAGUAGGGAAGAAGCGAAAGUGACGGUACCUGCAGAAAAAGCACCGGCUAACUACGUGCCAGCAGCCGCGGUAAUACGUAGGGUGCGAGCGUUGUCCGGAAUUAUUGGGCGUAAAGAGCUCGUAGGCGGUCUGUCGCGUCUGCUGUGAAAACCCGAGGCUCAACCUCGGGCUUGCAGUGGGUACGGGCAGACUAGAGUGCGGUAGGGGAGAAUGGAAUUCCUGGUGUAGCGGUGGAAUGCGCAGAUAUCAGGAGGAACACCGAUGGCGAAGGCAGUUCUCUGGGCCGUAACUGACGCUGAGGAGCGAAAGCGUGGGGAGCGAACAGGAUUAGAUACCCUGGUAGUCCACGCCGUAAACGUUGGGCGCUAGAUGUGGGGACCAUUCCACCGUGUCCGUGUCGCAGCUAACGCAUUAAGCGCCCCGCCUGGGGAGUACGGCCGCAAGGGUAAAACUCAAAGGAAUAGACAG